Monodelphis domestica (gray short-tailed opossum) is the source of this 2406-nucleotide long non-coding RNA. RefSeq lists it as uncharacterized. Lineage: Eukaryota; Metazoa; Chordata; Mammalia; Didelphimorphia; Didelphidae. The record is from RefSeq and is a predicted model, not a curated record.
CGAACAGAAGCAGCGUGAGGAGCCCCGGGGCCCCAGGUGUGGUGUGAGGAGGAGGCAGCAGGAAAUUGGCCUUCUUGGCUUUAGCCAGCAGCUUGCUCCCCAGUCCGAAGGAAGCCCUCUCUCAUCCCCAAGAGUUUCCAGUUCGGGAGUCUCUCCCACCCUCCCUUUCCUCCUACACUGAGAAGACAAGCGAUUUGGUAAAACUUAUACAUGACUCUUAUCAGUCCUAAACAAGAACAAAUGGGAAGAAUUCAGAGAAACUUGGGAAGAUUUGUAUGACUUGAUGCAAUAUCUGGCUGAACCAGGACAAGGAGUUCUCCUCGAUCACAGCAAUAGAAAGGAAAAUGGAUAACUUCGAGACACCAGAAGUCGGAUCCAUGAAUGAAGAAGAUGGUUGGGGCUUUUUAGAGAACUUGAACCUGGAGAUUAGUGUCUGGGGGCAGAGGGGUGGAGAACCACCAGCCAGAAUGAGGCAUUCGGUCAAUGGGUUGUUUGGGUUUGCUCAGUUAUACCAAGGGAAGGUUCUUUGGAAAAGUGGGUGGAGAAAUCACUGAGAAAUGAUAGUUUGUGGGGGUUUUAAAAGACAACAUUUUUUCAACCCUUACCUUCCAUCUUAAUAUUACUUCUAAGACAAAAGAGUGGCAAUGGGGGUUAAGUGACUUGCCCAGAGUCUAGGAACAGCUAGGAAGUAUCUGAGUUCAUUUUUUUUUUUAAACCCUUACCUUCCCUCUUGGAAUCAAUACUGUGUAUUGGCUCCAAGGAAGAAGAGGUAAGGGCUGGGCAAUGGGGGUUAAGUGACUUGCCCAAGGUCACACAGCUAAGGAAGUGUCUGAGGUCAAAUUUGAACCUACGACCUCAAUCUCUAGGGCUGGCUCUCAUCUCAAUCCACUGAGCUGCCCCCUGAACCUAGGUCCUCCCAAGUCUAGACCUGGUGUUCAACAACAACAACAAAAAAAAACCUAAGUUCUUUAUAAAUAUAAUUUCAUUUAAUAAUAAUAAUAAUGGCUAGCAUUCAUAUACUAUUCACUAUGUGCCAAGUGCUUUACAAAUAUCUCAUUUAAUAAUAAUUGCUAGUAUUUUAUAUAGCAUAUUUUAUAAAUAUUUUUAAGGAUAAAAUAUUUUAUUUAUAAUUUUUUAAAGAGAAAGAGAAAAGAAGAAAAAUAAAAUAAAGAGAAAGAGAAGUAGGAGUGCAGUUGGGUGCCAGCAGAGGUCUCUCAGGUCAACCUCAACCUCAAUCCUUAGCCUCUUAUCCAACUGGGAGAUAAUGCUCAAAUCCCUGCCCAUUAAUGCAAUGGGAUUAGGUGCAAGGCUCUCAGGUAAACUAUUUUGGUCUGUUGUCUGCCGACUCCCACCUCCUACUCCACCAAUCCCUGUCUCUAGAGGUCUAUGAUUCUAUAACCCAGAAUCCCCUUCUUCUGCAUUCUCUGUCUCUGUAUCCCUCCUUCCCUACUAUCUGUCUAUGGAUCCCUGAACCCCAUGCCAAGUUCCCAUUCUGGCUUUACUUGAAUGUCCAAGGACAUGUGGUUUGGGGAGAGAGACCCUCUUCUUCAUAGUUUCCUCUUGUCUCCCACAAAGAUCCCCUCCCCUACUAAUUUGGCUUCAUAAAAGCUGACCCAUCCAUUGAACAUGAAGGGGUCAGAUAAUUAAGGGGCAGGCUCGGCAUGUGUGAUUGUGUCAUUGGCAAAGCAAACUUCUGGAUGAGGGAACUCUUUCUUACCAAGACAGAUCAGAACCUUCUCUGCAACUAAUAAUCCUAGAUUUUUUUUACCCUUAUUUUCUGUCUUAGUAAUACUCUUAAAGACAGAAGGGCAAGGGCUAUAUAAAGGAAUUUGGGGUUAAGUGACUGGAUCAGGAUCACACAACUAGGAAGUGCCUGAGUCUGGAUUUGAACCCAAGUCCUCCUAACUCCAGGCCUGUUGCUCUAUCCCCUGUGAAACCUAGUUGCCUCAAAGAUCACAAAGCAAGCAAGUCUAUGUAAGAGAUGAGACUUGAACUCAGGUCUUCCAGGCUCUGACCACAAGGCUACAUUGUCUCAUAUCAUUUACAUUUACCUGUUUACCUGUUUAUUUUUAUCUCUUCUCCCUCCUCCCUCCUGCUCCAAUAUGCUCCUUAAAGGCAGACUUUCUAUCCCCAGUUUUUAGCACUGUGUCCAGUACAGAGCGAGUGCUUAAUGAAUGCUCAUUGGAUUGGAAAUAAGUUACAUAAGUAUUAUUAUUAUCAUCCCUAUUUUACAGAUGAGAAAACCAGCUCUUGGAAAAGUGAAGUGAUUUGCCUAAAGACCACACAAUUAGGAAGUAUGAUUAUAAUUAAAUUUGAACCCAAGGCCAGUGGUAAUGUCCAGUGAAUCUUUAUGCUAUGGGGAAUGGAAUUUUCUAGACUCCAAAUAAAAAUAUUUGUUUUUGUGGU